GAUGAAGAACGUAGCGAAAUGCGAUACGUAAUGUGAAUUGCAGGAUUCAGUGAAUCAUCGAAUCUUUGAACGCACAUUGCACUCCUUGGUAUUCCGAGGAGUAUGCCUGUUUCAGUAUCAUGAGCACUCUCACAUCUAACCUUUGGGUUAAAAUGUGGAAUUGGGAUGCGCCGGUUAUUAUAACGGCCCUCCUAAAAUUCAGUUCUUGGCUGCUUCCUACUACAGCAGUUUGGCCUAAUAGUUUUGAGUCUUCGAUUCAAAUCUUUGGCUAACAUUUGCUUCAGGAUGUCAGUCUUGAUAUACAGAAAUCUCAUUCAAACUUUGAUCUGAAAUCAGGUAGGGCUACCCGCUGAGCUUAAGCAUACCAAUAAGCGGAGGA
RNAcentral lists this unclassified non-coding RNA (379 nucleotides) under soil metagenome. RNAcentral's name for it is "partial contains 5.8S ribosomal RNA, internal transcribed spacer 2, and large subunit ribosomal RNA". The stretch from base 1 to 120 matches the Rfam family "5.8S ribosomal RNA", at positions 35 to 154 of the family's 154-position model. The record is from RNAcentral.